AGAGCACUCAAUUGUCAAAUGAAGAGAAUUCAUCAAGAAGAAAAAAAAAGAAAAAACAAACAGACAAACAAAAAGAACAAAAAAUCACAAAGUGAUGAUGAGCAAAGAGAUUGAAAACUAAAGUUCAAGAAAAGCAAAGUGCUCAAAAAGUCAAAUAGUUGAUUCAAUACUUAGAUGAUAACCCUUGUUUCAGAAAGAAUAAUAACCAACAAACAUUCAUUUGGGCCUUUAUAUCCUUUCUUUCAAUACCUGUUAGCACCUGGCCACGUUACAAGCCUAAUAAAGUCCACGCAGAUUGGAUAAUGUUUGCUAAAGUUUUCAUGAAGCUUAAUUUUGUGAUAAGGGAAAAUGAUUUUCAAUGUGUCGAAAAAGGAGAAAGAAGAAAAAAAAAGAAAAGAAGAAAAAGUAAUGUCUCGGGAAGAGGGGAUCACCCUGCCAUCUAACCAGAGGCAUGCAAAAGAAAAAUCAAAUUAAUUUGGGGUCACCCUUUUAGCCGGUCCUUUUCAUGUUCAAUACCUCAUCCAAACAGAACCCUGGCCAAAGAAAAACCGGGACAACUUUGUGAGUCUCACUCGAGUUUUUCAUCAACCCAUACCACAAUAAACAAAGAAAAAGCAAACAACAAUUGGGCAACUUUGUGAGUCUCAUACAAGUUUUUCAUCAAUCCAUAACCGCAAGACUGGGGCAGCUUUGAAAAUCUCCUUUGAAAUUUUCACCCUAAUUGUCAUGGAUCCAAACCUCAGCUCAUUUUCCUAAACACAAAACCAGGGCAAAAUUUUUGAUAUAUUGUGUUUCGUCUUGACACUCAUUUGAGGAUUGAAGUACCCAUGUGUUGGUCCCAGUCUUUCAAACCAUUCCAAAUGACUCUCAUUCUCUUCGAAAUCAUCCACUUGCCAACAAAUUCAAGCAUGUGUGCACUGAUGUCUCGAAAAAAAGUCAAAAUGAAAUAAUCUCAAAUUUAAGACUUGGAUGCAUGACAUUACUCAGAUUUCACAAAAUCUUGAAAAUAAAGACCAGUUUGAUGAUUGCA
Molecule: long non-coding RNA, 1030 nt
Filed under: Vigna radiata
Lineage: Eukaryota; Viridiplantae; Streptophyta; Magnoliopsida; Fabales; Fabaceae
Description: long non-coding RNA (VRAD_LNC002618)
Source: RNAcentral